This 377-nucleotide ribosomal RNA is filed under the name uncultured bacterium. Its description in RNAcentral is "bacterial SSU rRNA". It matches the Rfam family "Bacterial small subunit ribosomal RNA", at positions 521 to 896 of the family's 1533-position model. The record is from RNAcentral.
UAAGACGAACCGUCCAAACGUUAUUCGGAAUCACUGGGCUUAAAGGGUGCGUAGGCGGUCCGGUAAGUUGGGUGUGAAAUCCCUCGGCUCAACCGAGGAAUUGCGCUCAAAACUGCCGGACUCGAGGGAGACAGAGGCGAGCGGAACUUGCGGUGGAGCGGUGAAAUGCGUUGAUAUCGCAAGGAACACCAGUAGCGAAAGCGGCUCGCUGGGUCUCUUCUGACGCUCAGGCACGAAAGCCAGGGGAGCGAACGGGAUUAGAUACCCCGGUAGUCCUGGCUGUAAACGAUGAGCACUGGGUUGGAGGCUCCUCCAUAGGCUUCCAGCCGUAGCGAAAGUGUUAAGUGCUCCGCCUGGGGAGUAUGGUCGCAAGGCUG